This 253-nucleotide ribosomal RNA is filed under the name uncultured bacterium. RNAcentral's name for it is "partial 16S ribosomal RNA". It matches the Rfam family "Bacterial small subunit ribosomal RNA", at positions 524 to 776 of the family's 1533-position model. The record is from RNAcentral.
UACGAAGGUCCCAAGCGUUGUUCGGAAUCACUGGGCGUAAAGGGAGCGUAGGCGGCGUGGUAAGUCAGAUGUGAAAUCCCGGGGCUCAACCCCGGAACUGCAUCCGAUACUGCCAUGCUUGAGGGUUGGAGAGGUAGCUGGAAUUCUCGGUGUAGCAGUGAAAUGCGUGGAUAUCGAGAGGAACACUCGUGGCGAAGGCGAGCUACUGGACAACAUCUGACGCUGAGGCACGAAAGCUAGGGGAGCAAACAGG